This is a non-coding RNA of Oryctolagus cuniculus (rabbit), 2474 nucleotides long. The record is from RefSeq and is a predicted model, not a curated record. NCBI's taxonomy places the organism in Eukaryota, Metazoa, Chordata, Mammalia, Lagomorpha, Leporidae.
CACCUCGUGAAAGGUUACGGGCGGCUUCCACAUGGCAGCGGUAGGAUGCAGGUGUCCAUGAGAAAAGACCAGACUGUGUCCGAGGAGGAGGAGGAGGAGGAGGAUGAGGAGCUGGAGUCUGAGUCGGAUGCGGAGGUGGAAUGCGACCUGAGCAACAUGGAGAUCACCGAGGAGCUGCGCCGGUACUUCGCGACGACGGAGAAGCACCGAGAAGAGCGACGUGAGUGCGCGCCUCUGUCUCCUCAUCCCUCCCUUCUGCCCCGACAUUUGCACUCUUUCUUCCCCGAUAUGUAAAGCUGUUUUAUAGCUCCUCGUUUGGGGCACAGGUAAUAUUCCAAAUCUGGCCCUAAGGCUGGGAACGGUGAUGUAACGUUUCCGUUGUGUUAGCUUCUAGACUUGUUUGAGUUCAAGGGACCUUCAAAAAAAUUUAUGGAAAAAGGAUUGUGAAAAAACUACACAUGGACUUCAAUCUUUUUUUGCACCAAAAUUCCAUUUUCUAUGAAUUUUUUUUUGACAGGCAGAGUGGACAGUGAGAGAGAGAGACAGAGAGAAAGGUCUUCCUUUGCCGUUGGUUUACCUUCCAAGAUGGCCGCCGUGGCGGGAGCUGUGCCAAUCCGAUGGCGGGAGCCAGGUGCUUCUCCUGGUCUCCCAUAGGGUGCAGGGGCCAAGCACUUGGGCCAUCCUCCACUGCUCUCCCUGGCCACAGCAGAGAGCUGGCCUGGAAGAGGGGCAACCGGGACAGAAUCCGGCGCCACGACCGGGACUAGAACCCGGCGUGCCGGCGCCGCAAGGCAGAGGAUUAGCCUAGUGAGCUGCGGCACCGGCCUCAAUGAAUUUUUAAAAGCAUGUUUGGCUUCAUCUACUUGAAAGGCAGAGCAACAGCAGAGUGGGGGGGAAUCUGCUCUCUGCUGGUUACUGGUCCACCCCCCAAAUGCACACAAUAUACAGGGCUGGGCCAGGCCAAAGCCGGAGUGCCCAGGGGACACCCACAUUCUGUUUCAGGAUGCCAGUUCUAGUCCCGCCUCCACGUCCAUUCCAGCUUCUGCUAACACUCCUGGGAAGGCAGCAGGUGGUGGCCCAAGUCCUUGGGUCCCUGCCACCCACGUGGAAGACCCCAAUGGAGUUCCACUCUCCUGGCUUCAGCCUAGCCCAGCCCUGGCUGUUGUGGACAUAAGAUUGAUUGAUUGAUUUGAGAGGCAGAGUUACGGGGGGGGGGUUCCAUCCAUCCACUGGUUCACUCCCCAGAUGGUCACAACCACCAGAGCUGGACUGAUCCAAAGCCAGGUGCCAGGAGCUUCUUCUGAGUCUCCCACGCGGGUGCAGGGUCCCAAGGACUUGGGCCAUCUUCCACUGCUUUCCCAGGCCACAGCAGAGAGCUGGAUCAGAAGUGGAGCAGCUGGGACUCGAACCCGCGCCCAUACGGGAUGCCGGCGCCACAGGCAGAGGCUUAACGUGCUAACACCACAGCCCCAGGCCUAUGUCACAGCUUUUGAAAAAGAAAAAUGUUGGGCUUAUUCCUGCUGUCCUUAUCUACAGGUAGGAUGACAUGUUUUUCCUGCCAGAGAUUGGUACUUUUUUAGUGGAAACUAUAAGUAAGCAUGAAAGCAAACCACAGUCAUCUUAAAGGCCAUUUGGAAUUUUCUGCUUAUUUAAAAUAAACCGGGAUAAUUGUCAAUUUUAAAAAAAGUGGUGUGAAUGAAAUGAAAAUAAAAUCAUGAAAUGUGUCCUACAGCCAAAGAACAAAAUGCAGGAGGUAAGUUACGGAUAUGGUUAACAACCAGCCCUCUUCUUCUGUUUUGCCUUUAUCAGGUAGGAUUCUAAAGAUGUAGGUAAUAGGCCGGCGCCGCAGCUCACAAGGCUAAUCCUCCGCCUAGCGGCGCCGGCACACCGGGUUCUAGUCCCGGUCGGGGCGCCGGAUUCUGUCCCGGUUGCCCCUCUUCCAGGCCAGCUCUCUGCUGUGGCCCGGGAGUGCAGUGGAGGAUGGCCCAAGUGCCUGGGCCCUGCACCCCAUGGGAGACCAGGAAAAGCACCUGGCUCCUGCCAUCGCAUCAGCGCGGUGCGCCGGCCGCAGCGGCCAUUGGAGGGUGAACCAACGGCAAGGAAGACCUUUCUCUCUGUCUCUCUCUCUCACUGUCCACUCUGCCUGUCAAAAAAUAAAAUAAAAAAAUAAAUAAAAUGAAGUAAAAGUAAGAAAAGAGAGAAGUGAGCUGGGUUCAAGACCAUGUCCGCCCCGAGUCGCAGAAACAGGACGCACACACCAACCCAGCCUGUGAUUGGCCCCCGGGUCUGAGACAGGGGGAAGCCAUUGGCUGCCUGACGUGUCACCCUGGCGAGUCCAGCCCAGACGGAGGGCGAGGUCGGCGGCGAGGCUUCCGGGAGUUGUAGUCUCCCCGCUCCGCCCUGUCCAAGCCUACUGUGGCUGGACGGUGUGAAACCAGGACAUAUGGCCCACAGAUGAUAGAAGCAAAAUGAUA